GCUCCUAUAGUUCAGUUGGUUAGAGCGCCAUUCUUAUAAAAUGGAAGUCACUGGUUCAAAUCCAGUUGGGAGCA
Molecule: transfer RNA, 74 nt
Filed under: Corynebacterium sp.
Lineage: Bacteria; Bacillati; Actinomycetota; Actinomycetes; Mycobacteriales; Corynebacteriaceae
Description: tRNA-Ile
Rfam family: tRNA
About the family: Transfer RNA (tRNA) molecules are approximately 80 nucleotides in length. Their secondary structure includes four short double-helical elements and three loops (D, anti-codon, and T loops).
Source: RNAcentral